CUUUAAGGUCUAACCUGCCCACUGAAUUAUUUAAAUGGCCGCAGUAUUUUGACUGUGCAAAGGUAGCAUAAUCAUUAGUUUUUUAAUUAAAAGCUUGUAUGAAAGGUUGGACGAGGUAAAAUCUGUCUCUAUAUAAUUUAUUAUAGAAUUUUAUUUUUAAGUCAAAAAGCUUAAAUAUUUAUAAAAGACGAGAAGACCCUAUAGAUCUUUAUAAUUUUUUUAUUAUAAUUAAUUAAGAUUAAUUAAGAUUAUAAUAAAAAAAUUAUUUUAUUGGGGUAAUAGAAAGAUUAAUAAAAUUCUUUUUUAUUUUAAACAUUAAUUUAUGGUUUUGUGAUCCAAUAAUAUUGAUUAUAAGAUUAAGUUACCUUAGGGAUAACAGCGUAAUUUUUUUAGAGAGUUCAUAUCGAUAAAAAAGUUUGCGACCUCGAUGUUGGAUUAAAGAUUAGUUUAGGUGUAGUAGUUUAAAUUUUUGGUCUGUUCGACCAUUAAAUCUUUACAUGAUCUGAGUUCAGACCGGCGUAAGCCAGGUCGGUUUCUAUCUUUAUAAUUUUAUAAUAUUUUAGUACGAAAGGACCAAAUAUUAAAUAUAUUGAUAUUUUUAAAUUUGAAUAUUAUUAAUUACUUUGGCAGAAAAGUGCAAUGAAUUUAGAAUUCAUAAAUGUAAAUUAUUUACAGGUAAUAUUGUUUUAUUUAGAUUUGAUUUUUUCAUUAGUUUGUAUAUUAUUAUUAAUUGUAUGUGUAUUAGUAGGAGUAGCUUUUUUAACUUUAUUAGAACGUAAAGUUUU
Molecule: ribosomal RNA, 785 nt
Filed under: Pasimachus californicus
Lineage: Eukaryota; Metazoa; Arthropoda; Insecta; Coleoptera; Carabidae
Description: partial 16S ribosomal RNA
Rfam family: Bacterial large subunit ribosomal RNA (bases 1-566)
Source: RNAcentral